UCCUGGGCCAUUAGCUCAGGUGGUUAGAGCGCACCCCUGAUAAGGGUGAGGUCCCUGGUUCAAGUCCAGGAUGGCCCAUCGGGAUUGGGGGUUUAGCUCAGCUGGUAGAGCGCCUGCUUUGCAAGCAGGAUGUCAGCGGCUCGAGUCCGCUAACCUCCAUUAGUCUUGAUAAUGGAACUGUGGCGCAGGGUGACUUAGAAGGAUGUUGGUGAUUCCGGCCUCGUUUGAUUCUUGAUUCAAGUUCAAACGAUGCUGGGCUCAGCAAUGGGUUCAGCAAGAACCUUGACAACUGCAUAGGUAAGUCUGGAAAUAAAGCAUCUCACAGAGAUGAUCCAGGCAUGAAGUGAUCCACGUUACGGCGUGAUUUGCUUGAUGUUUGGUUCAACAAUUCUGGAGAAAAGCCGAGUCCUGAAUCAAUUUGAUCAGGAACAAAAUGGUCAAGCUACAAAGGGCUCACGGCGGAUACCUUGGCACACAGAGGCGAUGAA
This 488-nucleotide transfer RNA is filed under the name uncultured cyanobacterium. RNAcentral's name for it is "partial contains 16S-23S ribosomal RNA intergenic spacer and 23S ribosomal RNA". The stretch from base 5 to 78 matches the Rfam family "tRNA". The record is from RNAcentral. Lineage: Bacteria; Bacillati; Cyanobacteriota.